Molecule: small nuclear RNA, 107 nt
Organism: Otolemur garnettii (small-eared galago)
Lineage: Eukaryota; Metazoa; Chordata; Mammalia; Primates; Galagidae
Source: Ensembl
GUGCUUGCUUCGGCAGCACGUAUACUAAAAUUGGAACGAUACAGAGAAGAUUAGCAUGGUCCCUGCACAAGGAUGACACACAAAUUCAUGAAGCGUUCCAUAUUUUU